CUCACCACCAUUUCUUCCUGUCCCCUUUCCCCUGUUAUGCUUCUACAUUCCCAGGUGUGUGCCACUUAUUAGAAGCUUCUUCAUGACCAUGAGAAAGGAGCUGAAUGAACAUGAUGGAGUUUGUAAUUUGUAGUUUACAUUUUGGAGAUUUAUAAUUCCUUGUUUUUCUUGUCC
Arachis ipaensis is the source of this 174-nucleotide non-coding RNA. Lineage: Eukaryota; Viridiplantae; Streptophyta; Magnoliopsida; Fabales; Fabaceae. The record is from RefSeq and is a predicted model, not a curated record.